ACUAGCUAACUCAGAGCUUGCUAAUGAGAGCUUGGCUCUUCGUUUCCAGGUGCAAUGGCUUGAGGCUGGGGCGACCGCGACCUGCUGCAGUCGGACACGGAUCUGACUGGAAACCCGGCAUCCGCAGGGACGUCACGGUGCUGCCGUCGGGGAUCGAGAACGCAAGAGAAGAGGUUGUGCCUAUUUGCCAAGGGAAGAAGCGGCCAUUUGGUAAAGGCGUUGCUCCAUGGAGAAGGCCGUAAGAUUUUACUGGGAAGCCCAUAAGCUCCUCCUCGGUUCCCUGAA
RNAcentral lists this long non-coding RNA (285 nucleotides) under Struthio camelus australis. Its description in RNAcentral is "lncRNA (ENSSCUG00000003590.1)". The record is from RNAcentral. Lineage: Eukaryota; Metazoa; Chordata; Aves; Struthioniformes; Struthionidae.